Molecule: unclassified non-coding RNA, 414 nt
Filed under: Hevea brasiliensis (rubber tree)
Lineage: Eukaryota; Viridiplantae; Streptophyta; Magnoliopsida; Malpighiales; Euphorbiaceae
Source: RNAcentral
ACAAUUACAAUUAAAAACAAAAUGUGAGGAAACCGAAAAUGGAACUUGAAACUCCCUUUACAUAGACAAUUUCCAACAAGGAACAAACAGAAUAUUAACAAAUAUCUUCUUCAUUGUGAGUGGAGAUGUCAUGGGAUAGCAUUCUGAAAUUUUUAAAGUUGAAUGCUACCCAAAAUUUACAAUGGAACAUGAUUGAGGAACUGGAAUAUUGCUAAAAAGAAGAAUGUCGACAUCAUGUGUACUUCAGAAGCAUAAAGUCAAAAAUCAACUGUCCUAUUACAUUGAUAUAUAACUCGUAGGGCUAAUAUUAACACAUUACCAAAAAUUCCCAGCAUCUACAGAAAAUAAACCAUGCUAUAUCUACCCACCAAUAUAAGCAGAUGAAUGUCUAUUUCUACGGUAAAUGAGUCCUAG